GCGACCCCAGGAUGGGCGAGCCCAGGAUGGG
RNAcentral lists this ribosomal RNA (31 nucleotides) under Zantedeschia elliottiana. RNAcentral describes it as "partial 26S ribosomal RNA". The record is from RNAcentral. Lineage: Eukaryota; Viridiplantae; Streptophyta; Magnoliopsida; Alismatales; Araceae.